UCUAAGCACAUGCCUUAACACGGUGAAGCCGCGAAUAGCUCAUUACAACAGCCAUCGUUUAUUAGAAUAUCGUUAUCCUACUUGGAUAACUGUGGCAAUUCUAGAGCUAAUACAUGCAAUAAAGCUCUGCCCGCAAGGAACGAGCGCAUUUAUUAGAAUAAAAACCAAUCGGGUUUCGGCCCGUAAUUUGGUGAAUCUGAAUAACUUUGCCAAUCGCACAGUCCUAGUACUGGCGAUGUAUCUUUCAAGUGUCUGCCUUAUCAACUUUCGAUGGUACGCUAUACGCCUACCAUGGUAGUAACGGGUAACGGAGAAUAAGGGUUCGACUCCGGAGAGGGAGCCUGAGAAACGGCUACCACAUCCAAGGAAGGCAGCAGGCGCGCAAAUUACCCACUUCCAGAACGGAGAGGUAGUGACGAAAAAUAACGAGACAGUCCUCUUCGAGGUCUGUCAUCGGAAUGGGUACAAUUUAAA
RNAcentral lists this ribosomal RNA (474 nucleotides) under unidentified nematode Sourhope farm. Its description in RNAcentral is "SSU rRNA". It matches the Rfam family "Eukaryotic small subunit ribosomal RNA", at positions 58 to 529 of the family's 1831-position model. The record is from RNAcentral. Lineage: Eukaryota; Metazoa; Nematoda.